Small nucleolar RNA from Galendromus occidentalis (western predatory mite), 205 nucleotides. RefSeq annotates it as small nucleolar RNA U3. The record is from RefSeq and is a predicted model, not a curated record. The transcript has a single exon. Lineage: Eukaryota; Metazoa; Arthropoda; Arachnida; Mesostigmata; Phytoseiidae.
AAGAUCGUACUUCACAGGAUCAUUUCUGUAGUCGAUCUAACGUUUCCGCUUGCCGGAUUCGUACACCCUGAAGCCUCGAUGAUGCGUCGAGGGUGUGAGCCUGAGCGUGAAACUGGAUUGACGCAACCCUUCGGGGUAGUAUCUCUCCUUGAAGAUCGUUCGGACCUGGCAACAGGUACGGUGGCACGCACUCAGUCUGAGCGGU